Molecule: transfer RNA, 85 nt
Filed under: Felis catus (domestic cat)
Lineage: Eukaryota; Metazoa; Chordata; Mammalia; Carnivora; Felidae
Rfam family: tRNA
About the family: Transfer RNA (tRNA) molecules are approximately 80 nucleotides in length. Their secondary structure includes four short double-helical elements and three loops (D, anti-codon, and T loops). Further hydrogen bonds mediate the characteristic L-shaped molecular structure. tRNAs have two regions of fundamental functional importance: the anti-codon, which is responsible for specific mRNA codon recognition, and the 3' end, to which the tRNAs corresponding amino acid is attached (by aminoacyl-tRNA synthetases). tRNAs cope with the degeneracy of the genetic code in two manners: having more than one tRNA (with a specific anti-codon) for a particular amino acid; and 'wobble' base-pairing, i.e. permitting non-standard base-pairing at the 3rd anti-codon position.
Source: Rfam by way of RNAcentral
GCCUGGGUGGCUCAGUCGGUUGAGCAUCUGACUUCCACUCAGGUCACGAUCUCGCGGUCCGUGAGUUUGAGCCCCGCGUCGGGCU